Molecule: small nuclear RNA, 101 nt
Filed under: Suricata suricatta (meerkat)
Lineage: Eukaryota; Metazoa; Chordata; Mammalia; Carnivora; Herpestidae
Source: RNAcentral
UUGCUUUGGCUGCACAUAUACUAGAACUGGAACUAUACAGAGAAGAUUAGCAAGGUCCUGCAUAGGAUGACAUGCAAAUUUGUGAAGCAGUCCAUAUAUAU